AGGAUUUUAGUUUAAAAAUAAACAUUUGAUUUGCAUUCAAAAAUUACUUAAAUUUAGUAUAUCUUA
RNAcentral lists this transfer RNA (66 nucleotides) under Caerulea coeligena. Its description in RNAcentral is "tRNA-Ala". Lineage: Eukaryota; Metazoa; Arthropoda; Insecta; Lepidoptera; Lycaenidae. The record is from RNAcentral.